Molecule: ribosomal RNA, 425 nt
Filed under: uncultured bacterium
Lineage: Bacteria
Description: partial 16S ribosomal RNA
Rfam family: Bacterial small subunit ribosomal RNA
Source: RNAcentral
GUGGGGAAUAUUGGACAAUGGGCGCAAGCCUGAUCCAGCCAUGCCGCGUGAGUGAUGAAGGCCUUAGGGUUGUAAAGCUCUUUCACCGAUGAAGAUAAUGACGGUAGUCGGAGAAGAAGCCCCGGCUAACUUCGUGCCAGCAGCCGCGGUAAUACGAAGGGGGCUAGCGUUGUUCGGAUUUACUGGGCGUAAAGCGCACGUAGGCGGUUUGUUAAGUCAGGGGUGAAAUCCCGGAGCUCAACUCCGGAACUGCCUUUGAUACAGGCAAGCUAGAGUCCGGAAGAGGUAAGUGGAACUCCUAGUGUAGAGGUGGAAUUCGUAGAUAUUAGGAAGAACACCAGUGGCGAAGGCGGCUUACUGGUCCGGAACUGACGCUGAGGUGCGAAAGCGUGGGGAGCAAACAGGAUUAGAAACCCGUGUAGUCC